Prinia subflava (tawny-flanked prinia) is the source of this 8960-nucleotide long non-coding RNA. RefSeq lists it as uncharacterized. The transcript is spliced from 6 exons. Lineage: Eukaryota; Metazoa; Chordata; Aves; Passeriformes; Cisticolidae. The record is from RefSeq and is a predicted model, not a curated record.
UUCGCCAUCUGCUGCAGAAUCUCUUAAAACAUAAACUUUUACCUGAUAUCACUUUAUACAAUUUUAUAAAUUUCUAAUUUAUCAUAAGAACAUGAAUUAACCAUUCCACAUUUAUAACAGUGGUUUUCUUCUUACUGAAAAUAUUAAAGACAAGAACAAACCUCAGGCCUCAUCUCAUGACAGUUAUCACACUCGGGCAAAGAAUGAGGUGGAAGAAGGUGACACUGCUGCAGAUGUGGAAGUGUCUGAGCUGGAGAAAUGCGGAGAACAUCUGAAUUCCAUACUUGCCCCUUGUGCGAUGAAGAACUAAGUUGCAGGGGAGGGGGAGUAUUUAUAAACUGUCUCCAUAUUUCCCUGUCAUUCUGGAUGUUUGGAUUUAGCCUGGGCUUGUCAGCUAGAUCAUAAACAAGCCAACCCAGCUCCUGAACUCUCAAUGAAAUGCUUCUAACAGACAGACAAGCUAGUAAUGAUUCCAAAGGAAAAAUUGUAAAUGAAGGCUAAUGAUUGCUGGGGAAUUUCCUUAGGAAAUUCCUUAGGAAUGAUGAACCUUACACACAGGUGUAUUUUGGAGGUGGAAUCCAAAUUUCAGCCUUGGGCACUUGCAGGAGAAGAGGGAUCCUUAUCUAUAGCAAGGAAAGUCCGGUACCCCAGUGUGUCAAGUGCUGACAGUGAACUGUCCAGGGAAGGAGCAGCAAGUCCCCCCUGCCCUCACACUCAGAGUGGCAGCAGCCACAGGUGUCAGCUAUGAGAAUGAUGAGGACUGGGAACAGAUACAGCUGGGUGCUGUAAAGAUGAUGAGGAGGCGGGUCCUCCUGAGGCUGCUUUAAGAGGGGGUUGCCUCAGCUCACUUUGGCAUGGAGCUGCUGGAAGAGAGAAGUUUAUGGUGGGCUCCCAGGCAUGUCUCAUGGAGUGAUGGUGAGAGCCUCUCAUUGGGUCUGGGGGAGCUACUGGAUGCACUCGGAUGUGGGGCAUUGCUUGAAGGAGGUGCUGGGGGGCAAACCUUUGUGCUAGACAGGGCAGCAGCUGGUGAGCCAGUGGGGGUUUGUACAGGGGACUUUCCCCUUUUGCUUUUCAGUUUUAUCUUGUCAAUCCCUCCCUGUUGCCCCUGAAAAAAAUGGGGGUUAUGAGGACAAAAGAAGUUUAAAUUGAGGGAAGAAAUUCCUCUUUUCUUAUUGUCUGUGUUUAAAUUGGUGAAAAUCCCCCUUUGCCUAAGAUUUUAAUAAAUAGUAGUAUUUAAAUGUGGUUUUUAUUAAAUAUUAUGGUUUUUAUUAAAUAUUAUGGGGUUUUGGUGGUAUAUAGUGUUUUGCUUUAUUUUUUGGUUUUAUUUAUUAGGUGUAAUUUAGUUUUUGAGUGAAGAUAACUUUAUGAAUGGGUUUUAUGGAUGAGCUUGUUUGUAUUUGAGGUAGAAUUAAUUGGAGUAGCUUUUUAAAUAUACUUCUGAUAAAUGUUAUUGAGGUUUUGUUUUUAUUUAUUGUAUGUAGGGAUUCAGAUUUGGGUGUUUUGUUGGAUGCAGCUUUUAAUAUUUAAAAGUUUUUUCUGUUUAGUUGUUUUAAGGUGGUUUUUAUUAUUUCACUGUGUAGAUUUAUUUUGUUUGUUGAUGGUGUAUGAUAAGGGAUACGGUCUAUUUAUUGAAUGUUAUAUUUCGUAUUUCAGGCAUUGAUCGGGUUGUUUUUAGACUGGGUUUUGUUGUGGUGUUUUUUUUGGUGUUUUUUUUUUAUGGGGUAUAAUAUUUUUAAAGGAUAUGCUUUCUAAGGCUUAUAAUGCUGUAAUGGGAUAUAACAUGAGGUACAGGGUAUGCUUUCAGUCAUUUAGUGGUGGUUUUUUUAUUGCGGUGAGUAUGUAGUGUUUGUUUUGGUUGGUUUGAGGUAGUGUGAUGUAGUUAAUUUGUUAGGAUUUUCUAAAAAUGUGGUUGGAUUAUUGUUUAUUAUAUUGCAAGGGUUUAUUUAUUUGGUUUGUUUGGUUACAGUAUAUGUUUGAUAGCUUCAGAUAAUUUGGGAGAUACUGUUCAUGGUUAAAUUGAUCUUUUGGGUUUGUGUGUAUUUAUAGGUGAUAUUUUUGUUUGAAUGGUUUGAGGCAUUAUGGGUUUAUUGAGUUAGGAAUAAUAUUUUUGGUGUUGUUAAUUUAAGUUUUUUGUGAUAUUUUUAUAUUUGUAGUAUGAUUUGUUUGUUGUUUUGGUGGGUCUUAUUUGUUUUAUUUUUGCAAACAUGGGUAGUGAUAUGAUGGAUUUUUUUAGGUAGUUUUUUGAGGUAGUGACAUUCUUCUUUAGUAGUUUAGAUUUUUUCAUGUUAUUAAUUAGUUUGGGUUUUUUAGUUAAUUUUAUAGAGUAGUGGUUAUUAUUUAUGAGUUAGUAUAGGUGUUUUUUAGUUGUGUUUAGGGUCAGUUGUACAGUUGAGUUUAGCAAGUUGGAUUGAUUUAUCUCUUCUGCUAGUUUUUGUGAUUUGUUGUGUGGAAUUCUAUAUGGUUGUUUUUAGUUUUAGUUCUAUUUUUAUGAUGUGAUAAGAAUUGUUAGUGAAAAGAGUCUAGUGUUCUUUGUUUGUAUGGUGGAGUUUUUUAGUUUGUGUUUAUUUUUUGGUUUUUUGUUAAUGAUAAUAAAGUUUUUAUUUUGGGGUUAAUUCGUGAUUACUUGAAAGAUUUUAGGGACAUUUCAAUUUUUUUAUGUGGGUGUGCUGUAUGAAGAGAGUAAUUUAUUUGUUUUUCAUUAUGUUGGUGGCGUGGUGGGUAGAGGGCAUUUUUGUAGUAGUUAUUUUAAAUGUUUGAAGGGUUUUGGCACUUAAAAUACUUGUUUUGAAGGAAGUUUGAAAUCUUUGGGGUUAGUUACAGUGGGAUUUUAAAAUUUUAUUUUUAAUUAGGUUUUUUAAGGUUUAAUUACAGUUAACAGUUGUGAUUUUUUUUGUUGUUUUAGUACUAGAAGUGAAUUUUGAUUUUGUAUGUAGUGAUGGGAUUAUUGUAUAUGGCAUACUAGUGUUGACUGGGAUUUAAAUUUCUGUGGUUCUGAUGUGUUAGGUUAAAAUGUUUAUGUAUUUCAAAACACAUGGGAUUUUGCUUUUUAUUUGGUUAGAGACAGGUCUUUUUAAGUUUAGUGGGAUUCUGGGCAUGUAUUUGAGGUCUUUUAAGAGAAUUGGUCAAGGGAUUAUUUUCACUAUAUUUGGUAGUUUGAUUGUGGGUAAUCAGAGUUGGCUUUUUUUGGUGCAAUUUUUUUGAGUUUUCUUUUUUGAAGUUCAUGUAUUUGUGUGGUUAGGGCAGUGGUGUUUCUGGUGUAAUUCUAAGCAUCCAUUGUUGUUUGUGUGUUCCAGCUGCUCCGCUCAUAUUACACUGAGACCCUCUCACAGAGCGGCCAACAGCUCUGCUGAGAUUGUGCCCUGAUGUUUGGUUUUCUUUGUGAGAGCUGACUGAGACACAGCAGCCCAGGGACAGCAGGAAAUUCCCUGAGGGCAGGACGGCCUUCCUUUGCACCUGACGCAGAUUCUCGACCCCGGAAGUCCCAGAGAUAAGUAGAGGGCUACGAGCCACAGAAGGGAUGAAAGCGGGGUGCCGUGUGGGGACUCACCGGGAGGGGUCUGGAGUCAGCUCUGUGGACUGGGAUGGCCCAGAUGUGACACUUUAGGCCACAUCAAGGGAAAGUCUCUGUUUUGAUCACAGUGCUGAGGUGUGCAAGGCAGAGCAGUCCUAGGCCAUGUUGUCACUUGUCUGUUGUGCACUCUGUGUCUUUUGGGUGUCUCAUGUGUAAUGUCUUCUGCCUUAGCCCUUUGAGGAGCCUCUUGGAAACACCAGGCAUCGUUCUUAACAUCUCCCUAUUCCUCAGCCCAGCACCUUUGACUCAGGAGCUCACACGCGCAUCAGAAUCGCAUCUCUCUUCAGAAGCAUCCAGUCCGAGGUCUUUUCAGGUCUUGUUCUGAGCUGUACUAACAGCUGUGCACCGCAGUGAUCCCUUAUGGUGGACUAGGCUUUGUAAGAAUGCCGAGCUAGGUCGAGGUAUCUGACUGUAGGGUUCUCGGGCAUCCAUCUUUGCAGUUCUCGGAUGAAGCAGUUCUGCUGGCAUCUUUUUGCUGCCGGGUUCUUUGAGCCUCAUCGGCUCCCCAUCGGUCUUACCUCAGUCAUCUCCUUCCUCAUUCUCUCGGCCCUCAGGAUCCUUCUUCUUGCCGAGCCUUUUUUCUGUCCCUGUUGUGUCCUUCUCAUUGGUGGUGUCCUGUGUCACAGGUGCCACGGUGUGCGUUUGGCCCUGCGCUGCUCUGCCCUGCUGCGUGGCCUGGGUGUAGGGGUAAUAGGACAUGUCCUGGGGACUUGAAAUUUGCAGUGUAGGGUGUAGUGGGAGUGUAGAGGGUAUUUCUAGAUGGGCACAAGAUGCCUGGAGCUUUUAAGUUAUCCUGCAGCACUCUGUUUUGUCCUAACUCUCUUUCAGAUGCGGAUGGAUUAGAUCCGUGGCGGAGGGCCCCAUCCCGGGUGAGGGGCUCGGCCCCAAGCAGGAAGCAUGGCUGCAUUGCAGCAGUCAGGGUGAAGCAAACAAGGGGGUCCACUUGCAUCACGCCAAACUCCCCUCAGUGACCUGACGACGGAGCCGCUUCGCCUGUCUUGUGAGCCCUCGAGGAGCAUGAUAGGACUCCGUGAUGAAGCCUCGAUCUUUUCUGUUUGAAGGCGCCAUCCGGGUAGACUGCGGUAUACCCUGCGACGUUGGCAUGCAGCUCGAGGAUCCGGGCAUUCUUGGGAGACGCCGACUGAGAGACAACAGCCUGCUGCCGGCGGGAAAUUCCUCGAGGGCAAGGCGGCCUUGUUUUGCACCCAACGCCGAUUGGCAUUCCCAGACAUCAAAGAGAUAAGUGGAGGGCUGUGAGCCACAGAGGGGUUGAAAGCGGGGCGGGCGGUCAGGAGUUAGCGGGAGGGUUUUUUGAGUCCGAUUUGCAUUCCAGGAUGGCGAAGGUGUGGCCCCUUAGGCUACCUAAAGGGAAAGUCUCACUUUUGAUUGUGGUGCUGAGCUGUGCAGGGCAGAGCAGUCCCAGGCUAUGUGGAGUCACUUUUCUGUUGUGCACUCUGUGUCUUUUGGGCGUCUCACAUUUCGUGUCGCUUUCCGUAGCCCUGCAAGGGACCUUUUGGAAACCCUGGCUUUGGUCUUAGCAUUUGGGAUCUCUGCGUUCCUUGGCUCAGCGCCUUUAACUCAGGAGCAUGCACAUGCGUUGGAAUUGCAUCCCUCUUCAGAAGCAUCCAGUCCGAGGUCUUUUCAGGUCUUGUUCUGAGCUGUACUGACAGCUGUGCACCGCAAUGAUCCCUUAUGGCAGAUUAGGCCUUGUAAGAAUGCCGAGCUAGGUCGAGGUAUCUGACUGUAGGGUUCUCGGGCAUCCAUCUUUGCGGUUCUUGGAGGAAGCAGUUCUGUUGGCAUCUUCUUGCUGCCAGGUUCUCCGAGCCUCAUUGGCUUCUCAUUGGUCUUACCUCAGUCAUCUCCUUCCUCAUUCUCUCGGCCCUCAGGAUCCUUCUUCUUGCCGAGCCUUUUUUCUGUCCCUGUUGUGUCCUUCUCAUUGGUGGUGUCCUGUGUCACAGGUGCCACGGUGUGCGUUCGGCCCUGCGCUGCUCUGCCCUGCUGCGUGGCCUGGGUGUAGGGGUAAUAGGACAUGUCCUGGGGACUUGAAAUUUGCAGUGUAGGGUGUAGUGGGAGUGUAGAGGGUAUUUCUAGAUGGGCACAAGAUGCCUGGAGCUUUUAAGUUAUCCUGCAGCUCUCUGACUUUUGUCCUAACUCUCUUUCAGAUGCGGAUGGAUUAGAUCCGUGGCAGAGCCCACCAAGGAGGAAACAGUUGUGUGUGAGAGACGUGCACACUGAAGUUUGAGGAGGACGGAAGUCUUUGUAUUGAUGGAAAGAGGAACACCAGGGAAAAACUUCUGCUUGUGUCCUCAGAGAGCAGUGGGAAGAGCCCGAGAGAAAUAUUGGCUGCUUGAGGGAUCCUUGUGUCCGCUCUGGAAUAAAUCCCUGCAUCUCCUCAGACCUGCUGGUUUGCAGCAAAAUUUGGACACAUUUUGCUGCUAUGUUGGUUCUUAAUAACUGGAAAUCCCUGGAUUUCUGGAUGAUUUCCAUAGGUUCUCCUAUUUAGUAGGAGCUGCAGAGUGAGGUUAGUGUUCUGAGGGAGGCCCUGGCAAAGCUGCCAAAGGCAAGGAACAUGGAGGGUGCAGGGAGCAUCCGAGGGGAUUCUCCCACCUGAGUUUCUCACGGCCAGUACAGUGCUGGCUGUACUGCUGGAUGUUGAACCUGGGUUUGGGGUGUUCUCCUGCAGUCCCAGCUCCAACUGCUGCCCCUGUGCCCAGACCUUGCCAUGUCCCGGCACUAAACCCAGGCAGCUGCGUGUGCUUUUCCAGCCCUUUAAUGCCACGGGGAGUCCCAGAUUGCCAGAGCUCCCCAAUGCACAGCCUGGACUCACUCUCUGGGAGAGGCACUUCCAUCUGCCUGAAGCAAGGAUGUCCUGCCCAGGUUUGCCACUUUAUUCCUGUUGUUUUUCCUCUUCCAGGUAGUUGGCAAAAAUGGAGAGAGCCACUGGGAAGCAAAGCCACUGGAAGGCCUUAUACCCCGUCCAAGGUACUUCUUUUCUCUCUGACGCCUGGAUAAUUGCUUGACCAUAACCAGAGACUGUCCAUUUGAUUUUCCAAUAAAUGGUUACUUUCAGCUGGAGUGUGUUCCUGGGGUCAUCCUCCUCCUUCUCUGUUGGAACGGCAUGUUGUUAACACGGAGGCAGGAGGUCUGCAGUGAAAGGCUGCUCCCCAAAAAGAGGGCCAGCCUGUUUAUUUCUUCCAUUUUUAUACGUUUGUGGGUCUGGUUAUGGAUUGGCUUCUGAGGUUACUACCCCUUCACCCCACUGGCCAGACCAGCUGUCAACCAACAUUAUUUUCAGGCUAGAAAUAUGUAAACAAAGGACAGUGAACAAAAACAAGAACGGUUGCUUAUGUUCCAAAGUGUGAGAAAGUGAAAAACUGACCCUUCAUAUUGAACAGAAACUAAAGAUCUGACUCCAUCUUAUGAACAAGUAGAAGGCUUUAAAAAAACUCAGAAAAACCAGGGCAACACUCCUCCUCCAUGGAUUUGUAAAUAAAGUUCCUGACUUUUGCCAAGUAGACUUUUGUUAUUCUGAGAAUUGUGGCUCUUUUGUUCCGUUGAAACUUCCCCACUCUGCCAAGAGUUUCAGAUGUCAAAUACAAGUAAGACUGGAGUUUCUUUGCAUUGUUACUCCCACAAAAUACAGAUCAUUCUUGGAUAGGAGAAACUUGACAUGUUUAGUUCACGCUACCCUUUAAAAUCAGAGCAGAGGAAGCAGAUUUUAAAUAAUCAUAAGCUUCCACCAACUUCCUGCCUGUUCCAAAAGUUUUUACUUAUAGAAAUUCCUGAGGUUGUUUUCCAGGCAAGUUGGGAUUUACAUGUUAUUCGUUCCUUUUAUUUGAUGUUUUUCCUCUCUCUGAUUUUAGUAAGGGAAUAUUUAUUUCUUCGAAUAUUCCAUACUAAUUGGAAUUUUUGUACAGCUUAGGGCACAUUGCCAAGGAAAUGUACCAAAUUAAUGUUAGUAAAUCAAGCAUUGUUCAGCACCGUAUCCACAGAAUUCUGUAAAUUCCCAGGAAAACUUGCUGAGUCUUUAGAUGCCAUAAUGAAUCUCUCUGUAAAGUUAAAUUUACUGCAUUUUAAAUUACAUGAAUCCCAUUAAAACUUAAAUCCUGGCCUAAUUGCUGUUCCUUGGAUGCCAUGUUGUGGUUCUUUCCUGUCUUGGUACAUUUGUUUCCCACUAAAAUAGAAUUUGUUUCCAAGCAAAACUAGUAAUUGUCUCCCUUAUUUUCUGGGAGGCACUGGGUUUUUUUCCCCUAUCCCUACAUCACUGAGGAUGCUCCCAGAGCUGUGUUAGGCAAGGGCAUGAUGUGAGAGUGACAUUUAUUUAAUUUUGUAUUUUUUUAACUUAUUGUUUAGUGUAUUUUUUUUAAUGGUUUGUUUUUGGGUUUUAUUUCUUAAUAAUUUCUUCUUUUUUAUGGUAUUAUUUUAUUUUGUUCUAUUUUUAAAUUUUAUUUUAUGUUUUGCAUUUUUAAAUGUUUUUAUUUGUUAAUUAAUUUUAUUUAAAUUUAUUAUUUGUCUUUUACUUUUCAAAAUCACUUGUAAAUUGUUUUAAUUUUUUUAUAUUUGUUUAUAGGUUAAUAAUUUUAAAUGUUAUUUAUUUUGUAUUUUCUAUUUUUGUCUUUUAUUUUUAAAUUUUUAUUUUGUUUUUAAUUUUUAAUGUAAUUUAAAAAUAUUUUUCUUUUAGGUUUACAUUUUAUUUUUUUAAUUACUUCAAAUAUUUUUAGGGUUUAUUUUUAAUAUUUUUAAAUUUUAUUUUAAAUUUUUUCAUUUUACAUUUUCAUGGUUCCUGUUUUCUUCUUUUUUUUUUUUUUUCCCCCUUUACUAUUUCUUACCCCAAGUAUGGGAAAGUUUGGCUGUUGGCAACAAAGAAAUUAAAAAACGACAUCCAUGUCCACGGGACGUCUGGAUAUAAUUGAGAGUGCAGUUAACAAAACUUCUGUAUUUUCUGCUAAAUUAAAAAACCUGAAUGGAGAAAGCCGUGAACACCAUGGUGCCAUCUUUUGUCCUUUUAACCCCCUAAUAGGUCUCAUUCUACCCAUUUUCAGUAUUGCCACCAGUAACUUGAUGUUGAGAUGUAUUUCAGACAUAGCAAUAAAACAAAAUAAACUUUUUGUUUUCUAGCUCUCCAAACCUCAUUGUUUAUUAACCAGAAAACCAAAAUGAAGAAAAAAAAAACCAAAACAACCACUACAAACAACUAAAAAACCCCAAACAACAACAACAACAAAACACAAAAAGAAAAUAUACUAAUAUUAUCUUAAUAAAAAUUAAAUUUUUACCCCUUUGAAAAAUAGGCUAAUGUAAUUCUGAUUAAAUGUGGUUCUAAUGUGUUAGGUUAAUGAAUUCAUAUAGUGUAAAAUAUAAACCAACAACAACAACAACAAAAAAUCAA